Non-coding RNA from Truncatella angustata, 119 nucleotides. NCBI's taxonomy places the organism in Eukaryota, Fungi, Ascomycota, Sordariomycetes, Amphisphaeriales, Sporocadaceae. The record is from the annotation of a RefSeq genome assembly.
GGUGAGAUGGCCGAGCGGUCUAAGGCGCUGCACUCAAGCUAUCCAGCUUCCCUAUCUCCCAAAAGUUAGGGAGUAUUGCAGUCUAGUAAUAGGCGGGGGUUCGAAUCCCCCUCUCAUCA